GGGCUGAUAGCUCAGCUGGUAGAGCGCUGCAUUCGCAUUGCAGAGGUCUGGGGUUCGAUUCCCCAUCAGUCCACCA
Molecule: transfer RNA, 76 nt
Filed under: bacterium
Lineage: Bacteria
Description: tRNA-Ala
Rfam family: tRNA
About the family: Transfer RNA (tRNA) molecules are approximately 80 nucleotides in length.
Source: RNAcentral